CCUACGGGAGGCAGCAGUGAGGAAUAUUGGUCAAUGGGCGCGAGCCUGAACCAGCCAAGUCGCGUGAGGGAAGACGGUCCUAUGGAUUGUAAACCUCUUUUGUCGGGGAGCAAAAGACGCCACGCGUGGCGUUCCGAGAGUACCCGAAGAAAAAGCAUCGGCUAACUCCGUGCCAGCCGCCGCGGUAAUACGGAGGAUGCGAGCGUUAUCCGGAUUUAUUGGGUUUAAGGGGUGCGCAGGCGGAAGAUCAAGUCAGCGGUAAAAUUGGGAGGCUCAACCUCUGCGAGCCGUUGAAACUGGUUUUCUUGAGUGAGUGAGAAGUAUGCGGAAUGCGUGGUGUAGCGGUGAAAUGCAUAGAUAUCACGCAGAACUCCGAUUGCGAAGGCAGCAUACCGGCGCUCAACUGACGCUCAUGCACGAAAGUGUGGGUAUCGAACAGGAUUAGAUACCCGGGUAGUC
Molecule: ribosomal RNA, 459 nt
Filed under: uncultured bacterium
Lineage: Bacteria
Description: partial 16S ribosomal RNA
Rfam family: Bacterial small subunit ribosomal RNA
Source: RNAcentral